RNAcentral lists this ribosomal RNA (253 nucleotides) under uncultured bacterium. RNAcentral describes it as "partial 16S ribosomal RNA". It matches the Rfam family "Bacterial small subunit ribosomal RNA", at positions 524 to 776 of the family's 1533-position model. The record is from RNAcentral.
UACGUACUGUGCGAACGUUAUUCGGAAUCACUGGGCUUAAAGGGUGCGUAGGCGGCCAAUUAAGUAGGGUGUGAAAUGCCAGAGCUCAACUUUGGCAUUGCGCUCUAGACUGGUUGGCUUGAGUGAGAUAGGGGUGUGCGGAACUUCCAGUGGAGCGGUGAAAUGUGUUGAUAUCAGAAGGAACGCCGGUGGCGAAAGCGACUCUCUGGCUCGUAUUUGACGCUGAGGCGCGAAAGCUUGGGUAGCAAACGGG